This 606-nucleotide ribosomal RNA is filed under the name Platycaranx chrysophrys (longnose trevally). RNAcentral describes it as "partial large subunit ribosomal RNA". It matches the Rfam family "Bacterial large subunit ribosomal RNA", at positions 1850 to 2626 of the family's 2925-position model. Lineage: Eukaryota; Metazoa; Chordata; Actinopteri; Carangiformes; Carangidae. The record is from RNAcentral.
AGGUCCCGCCUGCCCGGUGACUAUAUGUUUAACGGCCGCGGUAUUUUGACCGUGCGAAGGUAGCGUAAUCACUUGUCUUUUAAAUGGAGACCUGUAUGAAUGGCAUAACGAGGGCUUAACUGUCUCCUCUUUCCAGUCAAUGAAAUUGAUCUCCCCGUGCAGAAGCGGGGAUAAACACAUAAGACGAGAAGACCCUAUGGAGCUUUAGACACCAAGACAGAUCAUGUUAAAUACCCCUUGACAAAGGCCCGAACUUAAUGACCCCCUGUCCUAAUGUCUUCGGUUGGGGCGACCAUGGGGCAGCACAAAACCCCCAUGUGGACUGGGAGAACAAACCCAAAACCUUUUUCCCACACUCCCACAAGCAAGAGUUACAACUCUAACUAACAGAAGCUCUGACCUCUUACGAUCCGGCUCUCGCCGAUAAACGGACCAAGUUACCCUAGGGAGAACAGCGCAAUCCCCCUUUUUAAACCAAAUAAACAACGGGGUUUUUUACCACCGUGUUGUUUGCACGAGGCCCUUCAGGGGGGUCCCCCCGCUAAGAGGGGGUCCUUUUGUCCAUAAUUUUUCCGCCAAACUGUAAUUUUUUUCAAAACCGGGGGG